CGUCACUCAGAUAUGAGAUUUUGAUCUCAAUUAAUUUUUAGAUAUAAUCUAAAUAUGAAUUAGAUAUGAUCUAAUUAUCCUUAGAUACGUUCAGUAUAUGAUGAUUUUAGAUUUCAGAUGUACAUACAUGCAUAUUAGUUCAUGUCAUAGAUCCUAUAUGGUGAUUUGAAUUUGAUCAAAGUAUGUAUUAUAGAUUAAAUUAUUUAAUCUACAUAUGCU
Molecule: long non-coding RNA, 219 nt
Filed under: Elaeis guineensis (African oil palm)
Lineage: Eukaryota; Viridiplantae; Streptophyta; Magnoliopsida; Arecales; Arecaceae
Description: long non-coding RNA (EGUI_LNC065355)
Source: RNAcentral